CCUACGGGAGGCAGCAGUGGGGGAUAUUGCACAAUGGGGGAAACCCUGAUGCAGCGACGCCGCGUGAGCGAUGAAGUAUUCCGGCAUGUAAAGCUUCAUCAGCAGGGAAGCAAAUGACGGCACCUGACCAUGAAGCCCCGGCUAACUACGUGCCAGCAGCCGCGGGAAUAAGUGGGGGGCAAGCGUUAUCCGGAUUUUCUGGGGGUAAAGGGGGCGUAGUCGGCAGUGCAAGUCUGUAGGGAAAAGCAAGGGCUCAACCCUUGGACUGCCUUGGAAACUGUGCGGCUGGAGUGUCGGAGAGGCAAGUGGAAUGCGUAGUGUAGCGGUGAAAUGCGUAGAUAUUGGGAGGAACACCGGUGGCGAAGGCAGCUUGCUGGAGGAUGACUGACGUUGAGGCACGAAAGCGUGGGGAGCGAACAGGAUUAGAUACCCUGGUAGUC
Molecule: ribosomal RNA, 440 nt
Filed under: uncultured bacterium
Lineage: Bacteria
Description: partial 16S ribosomal RNA
Rfam family: Bacterial small subunit ribosomal RNA
Source: RNAcentral